CUGUGUUGAGUCCCCUACUGUAUGAGAUCGUUGUGGUUGGGGAGGGAAGAACACAGCUUUGUAUCUACUGCAUCAUUUACCAAUGAACCACCUGUCUUCAAGAAGCUCAUUAUAGGAGUACUGCCUAAAUAAUGAAUAUAAAAUAACAGGAACACAAGGAAAAUUACAGACAAAAAGAUUUUGUGAGAGUUUCAUUCAAAGUAAUUUGGAUGGAGGAAAAAGGCUGAAUAUUUAUUGAGCAUCCUCUGUAAAGCCAGUUUUACAAAUAUAGUCUCACAUUUUUCACAAUUCACCAAAAUCAACAUCUUUAUCUUCAUUUACAACUAAGGAAAUGACUUAAAGAAGUUACAGUAACCUGCCCAGAGAGAACCACUGCUAACGGGUCAUGCUGUUAACUCAGCUCUAUAUAGGACCACUGGAAUUCCUGAUGACUGAGAGAGAAUCAUAAAAAUAAUAAGAGAUCCAGGAAUUAGGACACAUGAAAGAUAACUGAAAGGAAGUAAAUAUUGGAGAGAAAAGACAGUCUGUUCACACAUCUGAACAACUUUCAGAUGGAUGACACAUUUGAACUCUUCGGCAGGUCUCAAGAGAAUAUGAGCAAGACAAAUGAUUAAAUGUUGCAAAGAUCCUGAGUUCAGCUUCAUUAUAAGAAGAACAGUUAUGGAUAUCUAAAUGAAGAUAAAUUGUUUCUAGUGUCAAUGAACUCCCAUCCAAGCAGGAUCUGGAUUAAUGUCCUGUGGCUGAAAACUCCUCUUCACGAUGAAUACUUCGAGUGGCUAGACUCUUGCUGGGGCUAUUUUACAGGCCUGGAAUUCAAUCGUUUGGCUUCACUGUUGCGUUGCACUAUGUUCUUCAUUAUCCUUCAUGCUACUUCAUGAGGCCAUUAUUUCAGUUAUAAAUCCAGGAAUAUUUUGACAAAAAUAUACAUCUAGAAGAAGUCAGUCCAAGAGUCCACCAUCCCUCCUAUCUGUGGAAUUCCAGGUGUAGCAAGUAUUACUAACAGUAGAAACAAAGCUGCAUUGGGCCUUUAACUUCAGGUAAUUGGGAUCCGGAGAUAUGGAUCACUCACACUGGAGAAAGAGAGCACAGGAGGACAAGUAAGAAAAAGAACUAUGGAGAAGUGAAAAGGGGAGCCAAAAAUGGACAAGUGGCAUAUGUAUAAAUGGAAAAUGAAAGUGGGAUGGACUCGCAGAUGGAGUGUUUGGACUUCACAGUUGGGACUGCCGGAUGUGAGACCUCCCAAGAUUCCAGGACAAGCAAAGGGAUGAUUUCAUCCUUUACUAUACAUCCAGCCAUACACUGCUGGCUUGGAGCAUCCAGUGUGAAGCAAGAGACAAGAGACGUGUCCUCAUUCAAGGUUAAAAGUGAGGUCAAAGUCACCUUUCAAGCUGGAAUGGGAAGAGAACAGGAACUGGGGCUCAGAAGAUCUGGUUAUUACUUCUUUUUACUAGUUAAUCUAUGGCUUUGCGCAAUGGCAGAUUCAAAUUAAAUACACAUUUAUAGGAGGCUUAUUGGUACCAGAAGUUUUCAAGGUAAAGAGAAUACAGUUCUCAGAUUCUUGAUAUCACAUUUUAGGGAGAAGGAAAAGAAAAAGCAUAAUUAUUGUCUGAAGCAAAAUAUAAAUCAUUCUUUAAGGAUAAUAACUCAAUCAACUAAAGAAGCUCUGAAAAACUAGAUGUGGUAUCUGAGCUGAUUAUUAAAGGAUAUUGUCCAGUAGGGUAUUCCAGGCCAAGGGACGAGCAAAAUCAAAGGGAUAGAGGCUUGGAUAUAGGGACAUUUUAGAAGUUGUGAUUUGUGGUAGGAUGUCAUUAUUGUGAUGGUGUUCAUUAAUAAGUUAGGAUUUUAUGGAGGCAGAAUGUGAUGAGGAAAGGGGGACUUCUGGGAAUUUUUGAAUAAUUAUAAAUCAUACUACAUUUUAGAAAAAAAAUACAACAGAAUAAAUUUCUUAUCUCCAACCCCUGAAAUGGAUAUUUAAAAAAAUGCGGAUUUCAGUCCUGAUUGUCAUUUUAACAAAUGAUGGGUCCUUAGCCAGUUCACUUCCUUACUUCUGCUCUUCAGACUUUAGUCUGAAACAAAAAGCUUUAGACUUUGACUCUUUCCAGGCCAAAAUCAACACAACAUAGUCUCUGUGGUGGUCAGGAUAAUGGAGAAGUGAGUGACUCCCUUCAGUUGUGCUAGCCAUCGGGACAAAAAGCAAUCUCUGAACUACUACAAGUCACCUUGCAUAUAUGGAUUAAUCCCGAAAGCCAGCUCUACACUGGCUGUUCUUUUGUGGAGAGUGAUGUCACUGUCCUCACACCAACCCUAGUUGAGUUCGGGGCAUAGACAAUCCCUGAUAGCACCUUUUUAUGACAAUGAUACAAAAUGCAUCUUGCAUGUCAGUUGUCCUUCAGGGACAUGCUCUCAUCUCUAGGCUGGAUGUUCACUUCUGAGCUAUGGACUAAAACUACUUCCUAAAUAUUAAUUGGAAAUUUCACUGGUGGGUAUCUAUAGCAAAAUCUUUUUCAAAAGGAUCUGUGUGCAAUUCCCUAAAAUGUUAUUGCAUGUUAAAGAUUAGUUAGCAUUUUGAGGAACAUGAGUGUUUAACUGUCUGUUCCAAGAACAAGAAUAAUAAUACAAUUUUACAGAGGCUUACUGGUAAGCAAAACCCAUAAACUUCUGAAGAUUUUCAUUGACGUUGGACUUCUAAUUUCCAAAAUGUCAUAUGGAGCCACUGCAUUCAGAAAACUCACAGACAAUGAUAAGGAUACACAACAACACAUGUGACCAAGUCAUUGUUUAGACUGGGCAAAUUCUUUACUCUAGAUUUAGUGCCAAGUUGUCAUGAAAAUUUGGGGUUUAAACUAGGAUUCAAAGCAUGUGUAAGACUUGUGUGAAUACAGGUUCAGGGACAGUCUACCUGAUAGAAAAAUUACAGGUUCAAAGAUUAGGAUGAAUCCUGUUUCUGUGCAGAGUAUAGAAGAGAGAGAAAAAUAGUGUGCCGAUUGAUUGGAUUAAAAUUUCGAGUACUGAGCAUAAAAUAAAAACUAGGUGUGAGCCAUUACUCUAAAAUUCUUAAAUAACAGAAUGAGUAGUUUUGGUUUUUAUUUCAACUUUAGUGGAGCUCCUCCGUGAUUAUCAACUGGCUAUUUUUGUGAGGUGGGCAGUAUCGUGCCCAUGGUAAAGAAGGGGACACAGGAGCCAAGGGAGAUAGACUGUGUCCUAGAUCUACAAGCUGGGAGUGGUGAGGCCAGGGCAAGAGCCCAAUCCCUCAGUCGCCAGGUGUUUGGCCUCUCAAACAGCAAGUAGCUGUUGCAAGUUCUGGUUUCAAUCAUCUAAUACGUUCUCAAUGUAAACACAAAUUUUGAAAAACAGCAUUGAGCCCCACAGAGAGAACCUGGCAAAAUAUGUCCAGAGCUUCUCUAUGCACUCAACAUUGUUUCUGUAGAGAUAAUAACAGUAGGAAAAAAAUAAAUAUAGCCUCCAGAAGUCAUCCAUAAGUCCUUCCAGAAGGCCACCUGAAUUUCUGGAAUGGCUCUGCUAUUCUGAUGUGACAUUUAUGAAAAGUAGUGUGAAGUUUGUGGUAAGAAAAUGAUUUUAAUUUGCUCAAAGACCACCUCUUAACAUUUUGUAUUUUAAGAAAAUAGACAAGAAAGCUCUGAAUAUUAGGAGACCAAAAUAUAUGGUGACCGAAGAUUAUUUUUGCAUUUUUGGUGCUCUAAACGUGCGUUAACUCUCCGGUCUGAGAAUACUGCUUGGCAAGCCCUUGUCUCUCACAGAACAAAUAACAUCACAAAGUAGCAGUGUUCCUCUAAAGAAAGUGAACAGAAAUCAUCUCAAACCAACCAUCCUGGAAUUCUUUCUUGGAGAACACCUAAUCCCUAGAGUA
Canis lupus familiaris (dog) is the source of this 3868-nucleotide long non-coding RNA. RefSeq lists it as uncharacterized. NCBI's taxonomy places the organism in Eukaryota, Metazoa, Chordata, Mammalia, Carnivora, Canidae. The transcript is spliced from 6 exons. The record is from RefSeq and is a predicted model, not a curated record.